UUAAGCGACUAAGCGUACACGGUGGAUGCCCUGGCAGUCAGAGGCGAUGAAGGACGUGCUAAUCUGCGAAAAGCGUCGGUAAGGUGAUAUGAACCGUUAUAACCGGCGAUGUCCGAAUGGGGAAACCCAGUGCAAUUCGUUGCACUAUCGUUAACUGAAUACAUAGGUUAACGAGGCGAACCGGGGGAACUGAAACAUCUAAGUACCCCGAGGAAAAGAAAUCAACCGAGAUUCCCCCAGUAGCGGCGAGCGAACGGGGAGCAGCCCAGAGUCUGAAUCAGCUUGUGUGUUAGUGGAACGGUCUGGAAAGUCCGACGGUACAGGGUGAUAGUCCCGUACACCAAAAUGCACAGGCUGUGAACUCGAAGAGUAGGGCGGGACACGUGGUAUCCUGUCUGAAUAUGGGGGGACCAUCCUCCAAGGCUAAAUACUCCUGACUGACCGAUAGUGAACCAGUACCGUGAGGGAAAGGCGAAAAGAACCCCGGCGAGGGGAGUGAAAAAGAACCUGAAACCGUGUACGUACAAGCAGUGGGAGCACCUUCGGGUGUGACUGCGUACCUUUUGUAUAAUGGGUCAGCGACUUAUAUUCUGUAGCAAGGUUAACCGUAUAGGGGAGCCGCAGGGAAACCGAGUCUUAACUGGGCGUUAAGUUGCAGGGUAUAGACCCGAAACCCGGUGAUCUAGCCAUGGGCAGGUUGAAGGUUGGGUAACACUAACUGGAGGACCGAACCGACUAAUGUUGAAAAAUUAGCGGAUGACUUGUGGCUGGGGGUGAAAGGCCAAUCAAACCGGGAGAUAGCUGGUUCUCCCCGAAAGCUAUUUAGGUAGCGCCUCGUGAAUUCAUCUUCGGGGGUAGAGCACUGUUUCGGCUAGGGGGUCAUCCCGACUUACCAACCCGAUGCAAACUACGAAUACCGAAGAAUGUUAUCACGGGAGACACACGGCGGGUGCUAACGUCCGUCGUGAAGAGGGAAACAACCCAGACCGCCAGCUAAGGUCCCAAAGUCAUGGUUAAGUGGGAAACGAUGUGGGAAGGCACAGACAGCCAGGAUGUUGGCUUAGAAGCAGCCAUCAUUUAAAGAAAGCGUAAUAGCUCACUGGUCGAGUCGGCCUGCGCGGAAGAUGUAACGGGGCUAAACCAUGCACCGAAGCUGCGGCAGCGACACUAUGUGUUGUUGGGUAGGGGAGCGUUCUGUAAGCCUGCGAAGGUGUGCUGUGAGGCAUGCUGGAGGUAUCAGAAGUGCGAAUGCUGACAUAAGUAACGAUAAAGCGGGUGAAAAGCCCGCUCGCCGGAAGACCAAGGGUUCCUGUCCAACGUUAAUCGGGGCAGGGUGAGUCGACCCCUAAGGCGAGGCCGAAAGGCGUAGUCGAUGGGAAACAGGUUAAUAUUCCUGUACUUGGUGUUACUGCGAAGGGGGGACGGAGAAGGCUAUGUUAGCCGGGCGACGGUUGUCCCGGUUUAAGCAUGUAGGCUGGUUAUCCAGGCAAAUCCGGAUAAUCAAGGCUGAGGUGUGAUGACGAGGCACUACGGUGCUGAAGUAACAAAUGCCCUGCUUCCAGGAAAAGCCUCUAAGCAUCAGGUAACAUCAAAUCGUACCCCAAACCGACACAGGUGGUCAGGUAGAGAAUACCAAGGCGCUUGAGAGAACUCGGGUGAAGGAACUAGGCAAAAUGGUGCCGUAACUUCGGGAGAAGGCACGCUGGUGUGUAGGUGAAGCCCCUGCGGGUGGAGCUGAGACCAGUCGAAGAUACCAGCUGGCUGCAACUGUUUAUUAAAAACACAGCACUGUGCAAACACGAAAGUGGACGUAUACGGUGUGACGCCUGCCCGGUGCCGGAAGGUUAAUUGAUGGGGUUAUCCGUAAGGAGAAGCUCUUGAUCGAAGCCCCGGUAAACGGCGGCCGUAACUAUAACGGUCCUAAGGUAGCGAAAUUCCUUGUCGGGUAAGUUCCGACCUGCACGAAUGGCGUAAUGAUGGCCAGGCUGUCUCCACCCGAGACUCAGUGAAAUUGAACUCGCUGUGAAGAUGCAGUGUACCCGCGGCAAGACGGAAAGACCCCGUGAACCUUUACUAUAGCUUGACACUGAACAUUGAGCCUUGAUGUGUAGGAUAGGUGGGAGGCUUUGAAGCGUGGACGCCAGUCUGCGUGGAGCCAACCUUGAAAUACCACCCUUUAAUGUUUGAUGUUCUAACGUUGGCCCCUUACCGGGGUUGCGGACAGUGUCUGGUGGGUAGUUUGACUGGGGCGGUCUCCUCCCAAAGCGUAACGGAGGAGCACGAAGGUUAGCUAAUCCUGGUCGGACAUCAGGAGGUUAGUGCAAUGGCAUAAGCUAGCUUGACUGCGAGCGUGACGGCGCGAGCAGGUGCGAAAGCAGGUCAUAGUGAUCCGGUGGUUCUGAAUGGAAGGGCCAUCGCUCAACGGAUAAAAGGUACUCCGGGGAUAACAGGCUGAUACCGCCCAAGAGUUCAUAUCGACGGCGGUGUUUGGCACCUCGAUGUCGGCUCAUCACAUCCUGGGGCUGAAGUAGGUCCCAAGGGUAUGGCUGUUCGCCAUUUAAAGUGGUACGCGAGCUGGGUUUAGAACGUCGUGAGACAGUUCGGUCCCUAUCUGCCGUGGGCGCUGGAGAAUUGAGGGGGGCUGCUCCUAGUACGAGAGGACCGGAGUGGACGCAUCACUGGUGUUCGGGUUGUCAUGCCAAUGGCACUGCCCGGUAGCUAAAUGCGGAAGAGAUAAGUGCUGAAAGCAUCUAAGCACGAAACUUGCCCCGAGAUGAGUUCUCCCUGAGACUUUAAGUCUCCUGAAGGAACGUUGAAGACGACGACGUUGAUAGGCCGGGUGUGUAAGCGCAGCGAUGCGUUGAGCUAACCGGUACUAAUGAACCGUGAGGCUUAACCUU
Molecule: ribosomal RNA, 2900 nt
Filed under: Klebsiella pneumoniae
Lineage: Bacteria; Pseudomonadati; Pseudomonadota; Gammaproteobacteria; Enterobacterales; Enterobacteriaceae
Also listed under: 1 other name
Description: bacterial LSU rRNA
Rfam family: Bacterial large subunit ribosomal RNA
Source: RNAcentral